GAUGAACGCUAGCGACAGGCUUAACACAUGCAAGUCGAGGGGCAGCAUAUAAAUAGUUUUUUAUUGUGAUGGCGACCGGCGCGCGGGUGAGUAACGCGUAUGCAAUCUACCCAUUACACAGGCAUAGCCCAUGGAAACGUGGAUUAACUCCUGAUAGUAUCUGAAAUUGGCAUCACUUUCGGAUUAAAUAUUCAUAUGUAGUGGCUGAGCAUGCGUCCUAUUAGAUAGUUGGUAAGGUAACGGCUUACCAAGUCAAUGAUAGGUAGGGGUUCUGAGAGGAAGGUCCCCCACACUGGUACUGAGACACGGACCAGACUCCUACGGGAGGCAGCAGUGAGGAAUAUUGGUCAAUGGACGCAAGUCUGAGCCAGCCAAGUCGCGUGAGGGAUGACUGCCCUAUGGGUUGUAAACCUCUUUAGUUCGGGAAGAAACGCACUUACGUGUAAGUGUUUGCCUGCACCGAAAGAAUAAGCAUCGGCUAACUCCGUGCCAGCAGCCGGGGUAAUACGGGGGAUGCGAGCGUUAUCCGGAUUUAUUGGGUUUAAAGGGUGCGUAGGCGGUUAAAUAAGUUAGUGGUAAAAUUUCUAUGCUUAACAUAGUAAAGCCAUUAAAACUGUUUAACUCGAGUACAGUCGAGGUAGGCGGAAUAAGUUAAGUAGCGGUGAAAUGCUUAGAUAUAACUUAGAACUCCAAUUGCGAAGGCAGCUUACCAGCCUGUAACUGACGCUGAUGCACGAUAGCG
RNAcentral lists this ribosomal RNA (742 nucleotides) under uncultured bacterium. RNAcentral's name for it is "bacterial SSU rRNA". It matches the Rfam family "Bacterial small subunit ribosomal RNA", at positions 28 to 761 of the family's 1533-position model. The record is from RNAcentral.